Molecule: ribosomal RNA, 569 nt
Filed under: uncultured bacterium
Lineage: Bacteria
Description: bacterial SSU rRNA
Rfam family: Bacterial small subunit ribosomal RNA
Source: RNAcentral
UCCUACGGGAGGCAGCAGUGAGGAAUAUUGCACAAUGGGCGCAAGCCUGAUGCAGCGACGCCGCGUGGGCGAUGAAGGUCUUCGGAUCGUAAAGCCCUUUUCUGUGUGACGAGAAAAAGGACGGUAGCACAGGAAUAAGUGUCGGCUAACUACGUGCCAGCAGCCGCGGUAAAACGUAGGACGCAAAUGUUAUCCGGAGUUACUGGGCGUAAAGAGCAUGUAGGCGGUUCAAAAGGUCGGUCGUGAAAGCUCCCAGGCUAAACCGGGAGAGGUCGUCCGAAACCGUUGAACUAGAAUUCGGUAGAGGCAUGUGGAAUUCCGGGUGUAGUGGUGAAAUGCGUAGAGAUCCGGAGGAACACCAGUGGCGAAAGCGGCAUGCUAGGCCUGAAUUGACGCUGAGAUGCGAAAGCAUGGGGAGAGAACGGGAUUAGAAACCCCGGUAUUCCAUGCAGUAAACGAUGCACACUAGAUGUUCACGAGGCAAUGCUGAAGGAGCGUCGAAGCAAACGCGAUAAGUGUGCCGCCUGGGGAGUACGGUCGCAAGGCUAAAACUCAAAUGAAUUGACGGA